GAUUAUCGAAGGAAAGUGACCUUAAUUCAUAAUC
Flavobacteriaceae bacterium (ex Bugula neritina AB1) is the source of this 34-nucleotide non-coding RNA. NCBI's taxonomy places the organism in Bacteria, Pseudomonadati, Bacteroidota, Flavobacteriia, Flavobacteriales, Flavobacteriaceae. The record is from Rfam.